RNAcentral lists this ribosomal RNA (836 nucleotides) under Thuidium assimile. RNAcentral describes it as "eukaryotic LSU rRNA". It matches the Rfam family "Eukaryotic large subunit ribosomal RNA", at positions 86 to 924 of the family's 3401-position model. The record is from RNAcentral. Lineage: Eukaryota; Viridiplantae; Streptophyta; Bryopsida; Hypnales; Thuidiaceae.
ACGGCGAGGAACCGGAAAGAGCCCAGCUUGAAAAUCGGGCUCGCACCUCGGUUGUAGUCUGGAGAAGGUCCCUCUGCGACGCGCCGGACCCAAGUUCCCUGGAAAGGGACGUCAUCGAGGGUGACAACCCCGUCCGCGCCCGGAACGCGUCGCUCCACGAGGACCUGUCUGCGAGUCGGGCUGUUUGGGAAUGCAGCCCUAAGCGGGAGGUAAAUUCCUUCCAAGGCUAAAUAUGGGCAAGAGACCGAUAGCGAACAAGUACCGCGAGGGAAAGAUGAAAAGGACUUUGAAAAGAGAGUUAAAAAGUGCUUGAAAUUGCUGGGAGGGAAGCGAAUGGAAGCUGCGGGUGCGCCUCGGUUGGAUGUGGAACGGUUUCGGCUGGUCCGCCGCUCAACGCGAGGCGCUGGUCAGCGUGGGCCACGGCGCCGGGACAAAAUCAGGGAUUCGUUUCCUGCCUAUGCCGGUGUCGUGGCCGAGGAACGAAGCGCGCGCCUUCUGGCGUGGGUUCGCCCAACUGCGCGCUCGGGACGCUGGCGUAUUGAGCUCUUCAUCCGACCCGUCUUGAAACACGGACCAAGGAGUCUAACAUGUAUGCGAGCCGGUGGGCGGCAAACCCAUUGAGGCGCAAGUAAACUGACAGGUGGGACCCCGACCGUGAGGGAGGGAGCACCAUCGACCGACCGUGAUCUUCUGUGAAAGGUUUGAGUGUGAGCAUACCUGUUGGGACCCGAAAGAUGGUGAACUAUGCCUGAGCAGGGCGAAGCCAGAGGAAACUCUGGUGGAGGCUCGUAGCGAUACUGACGUGCAGGUCGUUCUUCAGACUUGGGUAUAGGGGC